AUGCAGCAAGGACAUCCAGUGGCAUAUCUGAGCACAGCUCUGGCUCCCAAGAACCUAGGACUGUCAGCCUAUGAGAAGGAAUGCCUGGCUCUGCUUCUCGCAGUCGAUCAUUGGCGGCCAUACCUUCAACAUGCCGAAUUCAUCGUGCGUACGGACCAGAAAAGAUUGCUGCAUCACAUGGACCAAAGGCUCAAUACACCAAUUCAGCAACGGGCCUUCACCAAGCUCAUAUGCCUGUAGUUUGUGAUCCAGUACAAAGCAGGGCUCUCAAACCGAGCAGCAGAUGCACUAUCCAGGAAAGCGCACAACACCCAAGCUGAGCUCGCAGUGAUCUCGAUAUGUAAACCAGCAUGGUUGGAGGCCAUACGACGCAGCUAUCAUACAAACGAGGGGAUUAAACAACGCAUGGCCAAGUUAGCUCUCGAUCCUCACAGCGAGCCAGACUAUGCAGUUCAGGACGGAGUGCUCCGCUUCAAAGGCCGCAUUUGGAUCGGGGACACUCUGGGUUCCAUGCUACUUAUCAUCGGGUGA
RNAcentral lists this ribosomal RNA (531 nucleotides) under Triticum aestivum (bread wheat). RNAcentral describes it as "partial small subunit ribosomal RNA". Lineage: Eukaryota; Viridiplantae; Streptophyta; Magnoliopsida; Poales; Poaceae. The record is from RNAcentral.